CUGAGACAUUGACAGUAGCCAUUGUGAUGUAGUACAGGUAUGCUGACACAGACGCUGACAGAUGCCAUUGGAGUUCUUCCCCUGGGCUAUUAGCUCAGGGGUCUGCCGACACCCACUGGAGCACAGAUUUAAUCCAACUCAGUCAUGGCAGGCAGCCCAUCCUAGGGACUGGUCCCACCCAACAGCAAGCCCUCAGGCUACUUGUUGGCCUGCAUAGACUGGGUGCCUCAAUCCUCUGCAAGCAGACGUGGCAAUAAUCACAGAAGCGAGGUGCAGAGGCCUUCAGAGGCACACGUGAUCCAGGGGGCCAUGGACCCUGCCCGGCCCACUUCCUCAUUUUGUUUCCUGCUAGACCCUGGAAGGCACGUUUGAGGAAUAGCUGGCCAAAUUACUCCACCAAAGUAGCAAUAAUUCUAUCCAGAUAUUCUUGUCUGCAAAGGAGCCAAUAAGACUCAAGGAGAACCCCAGCGAAGAACCUAAGAUGGAUAGAGGGAAAGUUUUUCCUCCUCUACAAACACAACGUCUGAGCAAUCAUUCCCUGAAGUCCAAGUUACACUGACUCAAGGGGGAGAAAACAACACAAAGAGGAUUAACUAGCUCACCGAGAGUUACACGGGAUAACAGGAAGAAUGUGGAUAACAAGCCCGUACCCGAACCAUUGCCUGGAGCAGAGGAAUUCCUCAUCGGCUCGGACCUGCUCAAAUGAACCAAUCACUAGAGCACAGGAGAGGGAAUUACCAACCCUGGAAAACCACUUUCUAUCCAUAAACUGCACAAAUGAGCCAUUGGAAGAGUUUUAUUUCCUGACAUCAAGUUCCUUAACGACAGAAAAGAGGAGCAGCAGGUGUUUCUCACCAGAUGCCUUUGUGACGGAAACAGACAGAGUUCACUGGGUAUUUUUGUUCAGAGCCAAAAUAGC
This 919-nucleotide long non-coding RNA is filed under the name Equus asinus (donkey). Its description in RNAcentral is "lncRNA (ENSEASG00005025929.1)". Lineage: Eukaryota; Metazoa; Chordata; Mammalia; Perissodactyla; Equidae. The record is from RNAcentral.